ACGCUGGCGGCGUGCCUAAUACAUGCAAGUCGAACGAGAGCGACCGGUGCUUGCACUGGUCAAUCUAGUGGCGAACGGGUGAGUAACACGUGGGUAACCUGCCCAUCAGGGGGGGAUAACAUUCGGAAACGGAUGCUAAAACCGCAUAGGUCUUCGAACCGCAUGGUUUGAAGAGGAAAAGAGGCGCAAGCUUCUGCUGAUGGAUGGACCCGCGGUGCAUUAGCUAGUUGGUGAGGUAACGGCUCACCAAGGCAGUGAUGCAUAGCCGACCUGAGAGGGUGAUCGGCCACAUUGGGACUGAGACACGGCCCAAACUCCUACGGGAGGCAGCAGUAGGGAAUCUUCCGCAAUGGACGCAAGUCUGACGGAGCAACGCCGCGUGAGUGAAGAAGGUUUUCGGAUCGUAAAACUCUGUUGUUAGAGAAGAACAAGUGCUAGAGUAACUGUUAGCGCCUUGACGGUAUCUAACCAGAAAGCCACGGCUAACUACGUGCCAGCAGCCGCGGUAAUACGUAGGUGGCAAGCGUUGUCCGGAUUUAUUGGGCGUAAAGCGAGCGCAGGCGGUUCCUUAAGUCUGAUGUGAAAGCCCCCGGCUCAACCGGGGAGGGUCAUUGGAAACUGGGGAACUUGAGUGCAGAAGAGGAGAGUGGAAUUCCAUGUGUAGCGGUGAAAUGCGUAGAUAUAUGGAGGAACACCAGUGGCGAAGGCGACUCUCUGGUCUGUAACUGACGCUGAGGCUCGAAAGCGUGGGUAGCAAACAGGAUUAGAUACCCUGGUAGUCCACGCCGUAAACGAUGAGUGCUAAGUGUUGGAGGGUUUCCGCCCUUCAGUGCUGCAGUUAACGCAUUAAGCACUCCGCCUGGGGAGUACGACCGCAAGGUUGAAACUCAAAGGAAUUGACGGGGACCCGCACAAGCG
This 918-nucleotide ribosomal RNA is filed under the name uncultured bacterium. RNAcentral's name for it is "bacterial SSU rRNA". It matches the Rfam family "Bacterial small subunit ribosomal RNA", at positions 33 to 931 of the family's 1533-position model. The record is from RNAcentral.